Long non-coding RNA from Bufo bufo (common toad), 798 nucleotides. RefSeq lists it as uncharacterized. NCBI's taxonomy places the organism in Eukaryota, Metazoa, Chordata, Amphibia, Anura, Bufonidae. The record is from RefSeq and is a predicted model, not a curated record. The transcript has 3 exons.
GGGUGAACACGGACAGAUUGUUCCAGGCCCGCAGCUGUUUUUUUGACUCCAGCCUCCCAGAAGAGACGACGGUGCAGAUCAACAACAUGAUUCAAGCCUACAGAUCAGCAGCCAUAAUUAGCAAUCCUAUUUAAAGCCUACAUGUAGAAGCAUGACUGUGCAUUCUGAAGUGUCCCAGAUAAAAGACCAUCCAAAACAGCAGAAAGGUCUUUCCAAGAUUACCUAGUCCUCCGGAGGUGGUAAAUCCGGUUCCCAGAAGAUGAAGAAGCCAGCACAGAUUUUCACUUCGGGAAUGUCUUUACAGAGUUACAUGUUGACCCACCGAAUGAUUAAAAUUCACAAGUAGUUAAUGUCCAAAGGGUCGGGAUGUGAACAGCUCCUGCAUGUACUGGAAGGCUGAACUGUACAGAUUGUUCCCAGCCGUUUCUUAGGCUGAUAAGGAUGAGCCAGUGUGUCUUGUGUUAUAUUCUUGCUUAUGUCUUUGUCCUUGAGAUAGGAGUCGUCUUAUGUGGUAGAUGAUGCAUUUAUUUUCUGUUGCCUUUUUCCUGUACGAUGCACUUUGCAUACACAGCUCUGUCACAUUUAUCAGUAUUCUACCAUCUUUUUAAAAAUCAAAUUCAACAUAUAAUCUACUAUGUAAUCCUUUGUUAUAGAAGAGGUUGCCUCAGCUUGGCCUUUCAUGGCCCAAAUGGAAAUCACCCACAGUAAGCGGUGGAAACAUCUGAGCAACCGACACGCCGCUGUGGGAGCUAUGCAAACACUGCAAGCUAUGCCGGAUGGUCAGCCAUCCCUGGGUGG